Long non-coding RNA from Otolemur garnettii (small-eared galago), 90 nucleotides. RefSeq lists it as uncharacterized. The record is from RefSeq and is a predicted model, not a curated record. Lineage: Eukaryota; Metazoa; Chordata; Mammalia; Primates; Galagidae. The transcript has 2 exons.
CCGGCAGCGGCAGAGCGAGCGGCAGAGGCAAGAUGGGUCAAAGUCAGAGUGGUGGCCAUGGUCCUGGAGGUGGCAAGAAGGAUGACAAGG